GCCAGAAUACCCACUCCAGAAAAAUGAAAAAAAGAAAAGGAAAAAAGACUCGUUAUAGCUACUAUCUUCUGUAUUUUGCUACGUAGGCAAGACCCAUACUAUAUUAGAACAAAUACUUUAUGCUACUUGCUACUUAUUAUAGCAUUAUCUGCAUUCCCUGUACUGAAAUGUUCCAGAGAGCAGGCAAGUUUGGUGUACUGUUAAUGUACUAUAGUUCUGACUAUCAGUGUUUGUUAUAACAUUUCUGUAUUGUCACCAUCUUCAAGCGCCAUCUUCAAAAUGUAAAUGAAAUGAUGAAACUCCAGGUGAGAAAUCUUAAUGCAGGGUAGUUAGGUUCCAUCAAUAAAAGUUGAAGGGUUCUUGGAAGUUUCCCUAUCUACAAAUGUUAGUAAGUUUGUAAGUAUGAGGAAAUUUCCUCUUGGCUCUCUCUAUCUAUUUUCAAUAUAUUUUCCUUCCAGCAACUCAUAACAGGUUAAAAGAAAAUUUUGACUCAGAUUGUUCUUAAAUUUUUAAUUAAAAGAAAUGAGCAAUUGUCCAGGUUUAUACCAGGAUAUUGGCAAAAAGGCCAGAGGUUAUCGUCUUCUCUUCUCUUCACAUCCUGUCUUGCUUUCUACUACAUUAUCUUUUUGAACUUUACUUUUCUUGAUAAAUUACUCAUAGGUUUGUUUACAUUUUCACUAGAUCUUCUCUACAGAGAUUACGCUCAUCAACCAAAAACUCAUUUUCAUUACCGGAACAUCAAGUGGAAUUUUGAUCUCUCAUGUGAAACACCGGAAAUUUUGCCUGGAGUCACAACAUUUUUCAGAUUCACAAUUCCUGAUUCUUGUAAGGUGGAACUCAGAUUCUUGGGUGACUAUUUCGGGAUCGCUGCAGGCGUUGAAAUGCAGGCAUGUGAACAGGGACCCUUUAGAGGAAAGGGAUAUAACCCAUUUGUAAAUUUAUCAGGUUUAGCAGGAAACACUUUUUUCUCUCUUGGGACUGACAUUUCCUUCAAUGUAGCAACAAGGAAUUUUGAUGAAUUCAGUGCUGGUUUGAGCUUCAACAGUCCCUUCCUUAUUUCUGCCUUGAACUUGGAUGACAAACUUGAUGCUGUAAAAGCUUCCUGUCACUAUACGUUCAAUCCCCUUACCACGACUGCCAUUGCAGCUGAAUUGAAUCAUAAUUUUUCAGAAAAUGGAGCAACCACAGUUACAGUUGGCGCACAACAUUCCUUUUUUCCAUUUACAUUGAUGAAGGUUCGUGUGAACAAUGAAGCCAAAAUUGGUGGGCUAAUUCGGAUGGAACUGUGGGAAAAGCUCCUAGUAGCCGCAACAGGGGAGUUGGAUUUCAGGGCUGCAAACAAAAUUUCUAAGAUUGGAAUGUCCAUAAAUUUCAAUCUCUAGAGCGGCUUCGCUUGAGAAUAAAUACUGUUAUUUUGAGUUUAUAUGACAGCCUCCAUUCCAUCAAGAUUUAUAUAUAGUUUUUAUUUUUUGUAUUCCUUUAUUAAUACAACAAACGUUGGGGAAAGUGAUUAGCGGAGUAUGUACAAAACAUGCGGAUAUACAAA
RNAcentral lists this unclassified non-coding RNA (1546 nucleotides) under Hevea brasiliensis (rubber tree). Lineage: Eukaryota; Viridiplantae; Streptophyta; Magnoliopsida; Malpighiales; Euphorbiaceae. The record is from RNAcentral.